GAGGCUACAGCUCAGGGGUAGAGCACGUGAUUAGCAUGCAUGAGGUCCUGGGUUCAUUCCUCAGUACCUUCU
This 72-nucleotide transfer RNA is filed under the name Camelus bactrianus (Bactrian camel). It matches the Rfam family "tRNA". Rfam says of the family: Transfer RNA (tRNA) molecules are approximately 80 nucleotides in length. Their secondary structure includes four short double-helical elements and three loops (D, anti-codon, and T loops). The record is from Rfam by way of RNAcentral. Lineage: Eukaryota; Metazoa; Chordata; Mammalia; Artiodactyla; Camelidae. RNAcentral also lists the same sequence under 1 other name.